UACAGAGGGUGCGAGCGUUAUUCGGAAUUACUGGGCGUAAAGCGCACGUAGGCGGCUCCAAAAGUCGGAUGUGAAAUCCCUGGGCUCAACCGAGGAAGUGCAUCCGAAACUGCGGAGCUUGAGUAUGGAAGAGGGUCGCGGAAUUCCCGGUGUAGAGGUGAAAUUCGUAGAUAUCGGGAGGAACACCAGUGGCAAAGGCGGCGACCUGGGCCAAUACUGACGCUGAGGAGCGAAAGCGUGGGUAGCGAACAGG
RNAcentral lists this ribosomal RNA (253 nucleotides) under uncultured bacterium. RNAcentral describes it as "partial 16S ribosomal RNA". It matches the Rfam family "Bacterial small subunit ribosomal RNA", at positions 524 to 776 of the family's 1533-position model. The record is from RNAcentral.